GACGAACGCUGGCGGCGUGCUUAACACAUGCAAGUCGAACGGUGAAGCUCCAGCUUGCUGGAGUGGAUCAGUGGCGAACGGGUGAGUAACACGUGAGCAACCUGCCCCUGACUUUGGAAUAAGCGCUGGAAACGGCGUCUAAUACUGGAUACGAGAAGGGCCCGCAUGGGCACUUUCUGGAAAGUUUUUCGGUUGGGGAUGGGCUCGCGGCCUAUCAGCUUGCUGGUGGGGUAAUGGCUCACCAAGGCGACGACGGGUAGCCGGCCUGAGAGGGCGACCGGCCACACUGGGACUGAGACACGGCCCAGACUCCUACGGGAGGCAGCAGUGGGGAAUAUUGCACAGUGGGCGAAAGCCUGAUGCAGCGACGCCGCGUGAGGGAUGACGGCCUUCGGGUUGUAAACCUCUUUCGGCAGGGAAGAAGCGAAAGUGACGGUACCUGCAGAAGAAGCACCGGCUAACUACGUG
RNAcentral lists this ribosomal RNA (468 nucleotides) under uncultured bacterium. RNAcentral describes it as "partial 16S ribosomal RNA". It matches the Rfam family "Bacterial small subunit ribosomal RNA", at positions 28 to 507 of the family's 1533-position model. The record is from RNAcentral.